This 95-nucleotide ribosomal RNA is filed under the name Fusarium verticillioides. RNAcentral's name for it is "partial 5.8S ribosomal RNA". The stretch from base 1 to 81 matches the Rfam family "5.8S ribosomal RNA", at positions 74 to 154 of the family's 154-position model. From Rfam's summary of the family: 5.8S ribosomal RNA (5.8S rRNA) is a component of the large subunit of the eukaryotic ribosome. It is transcribed by RNA polymerase I as part of the 45S precursor that also contains 18S and 28S rRNA. Functionally, it is thought that 5.8S rRNA may be involved in ribosome translocation. The record is from RNAcentral. Lineage: Eukaryota; Fungi; Ascomycota; Sordariomycetes; Hypocreales; Nectriaceae.
GCAGAAUUCAGUGAAUCAUCGAAUCUUUGAACGCACAUUGCGCCCGCCAGUAUUCUGGCGGGCAUGCCUGUUCGAGCGUCAUUUCAACCCUCAAG